Molecule: non-coding RNA, 68 nt
Organism: Phrynosoma platyrhinos (Desert horned lizard)
Lineage: Eukaryota; Metazoa; Chordata; Lepidosauria; Squamata; Phrynosomatidae
Source: the annotation of a GenBank genome assembly
AGCCUAGUGUAAUGGUUUGAGUGUUGGAUACAACUCUGGAGACCAGGGUUCAAAUCCCUGCUUGGCUA